RNAcentral lists this ribosomal RNA (450 nucleotides) under uncultured Clostridia bacterium. RNAcentral's name for it is "bacterial SSU rRNA". It matches the Rfam family "Bacterial small subunit ribosomal RNA", at positions 338 to 795 of the family's 1533-position model. The record is from RNAcentral. Lineage: Bacteria; Bacillati; Bacillota; Clostridia.
CCUACGGGGGGCUGCAGUAGGGAAUAUUGCGCAAUGGAGGAAACUCUGACGCAGCGACGCCGCGUGAGCGAUGAAGGUUUUCGGAUCGUAAAGCUCUGUCCUUGGGGAAGAAGGUCUUCGGACUUGACGGUACCCAAGAAGAAAGCCCCGGCUAACUACGUGCCAGCAGCCGCGGUAAUACGUAGGGGGCAAGCGUUGUCCGGAAUUAUUGGGCGUAAAGGGUGCGUAGGCGGCCUUUUAAGUCAGAUGUGAAAGCCCGCGGCUUAACUGCGGGAUUGCAUUUGAAACUGGGAGGCUUGAGUAUCGGAGAGGGUAGUGGAAUUCCCAGUGUAGCGGUGAAAUGCGUAGAUAUUGGGAGGAACACCAGUGGCGAAGGCGACUGCCUGGACGAAAACUGACGCUGAGGCACGAAAGCUAGGGGAGCAAACAGGAUUAGAUACCCCUGUAGUC